GACGAACGCUGGCGGCGUGCUUAACACAUGCAAGUCGAACGGAAAGGCCCUGCUUUUGUGGGGUGCUCGAGUGGCGAACGGGUGAGUAACACGUGAGUAACCUGCCCUUUACUUUGGGAUAACUUCAGGAAACUGGGGCUAAUACCCGAUAUGAGCUCCUUCUGCAUGGUGGGGGUUGGAAAGUUUCGGCGGUUGGGGAUGGACUCGCGGCUUAUCAGCUUGUUGGUGGGGUAGUGGCUUACCAAGGCUUUGACGGGUAGCCGGCCUGAGAGGGUGACCGGCCACAUUGGGACUGAGAUACGGCCAAGACUGCUACGGGAGGCAGCAGUGGGGAAUAUUGCACAAUGGGCGGAAGCCUGAUGCAGCAACGCCGCGUGCGGGAUGACGGCCUUCGGGUUGUAAACCGCUUUCGCCUGUGACGAAGCGUGAGUGACGGUAAUGGGUAAAGAAGCACCGGCUAACUACGUG
This 468-nucleotide ribosomal RNA is filed under the name uncultured bacterium. Its description in RNAcentral is "partial 16S ribosomal RNA". It matches the Rfam family "Bacterial small subunit ribosomal RNA", at positions 28 to 507 of the family's 1533-position model. The record is from RNAcentral.